RNAcentral lists this ribosomal RNA (134 nucleotides) under Phialophora sp. IFM 56398. RNAcentral's name for it is "partial 28S ribosomal RNA". Lineage: Eukaryota; Fungi; Ascomycota; Eurotiomycetes; Chaetothyriales; Herpotrichiellaceae. The record is from RNAcentral.
CCAAAGAUAAUGACGGCGUCUGUGAGGACUCCUGUACACUGAGCUUUCGGGCACGUACACGGCUAGAAAUCCAGGCCCGGUCGCCCUCGGCCCCCCUCGUUUUCGAGGGACCGAGAACCCCCUUUAUAUCAAGG